AUUGAACGCUGGCGGCAGGCCUAACACGUGCAAGUCGAGCGGAUGAAGGGAGCUUGCUCCUGGAUUCAGCGGCGGACGGGUGAGUAAUGCCUAGGAAUCUGCCUGGUAGUGGGGGAUAACGUCCGGAAACGGGCGCUAAUACCGCAUACGUCCUGAGGGAGAAAGUGGGGGAUCUUCGGACCUCACGCUAUCAGAUGAGCCUAGGUUGGAUUAGCUAGUUGGUGGGGUAAAGGCCUACCAAGGCGACGAUCCGUAACUGGUCUGAGGAUGAUCAGUCACACUGGAACUGAGACACGGUCCAGACUCCUACGGGAGGCAGCAGUGGGGAAUAUUGGACAAUGGGCGAAAGCCUGAUCCAGCCAUGCCGCGUGUGUGAAGAAGGUCUUCGGAUUGUAAAGCACUUUAAGUUGGGAGGAAGGGCAGUAAGUUAAUACCUUGCUGUUUUGACGUUACCAACAGAAUAAGCACCGGCUAACUUCGUG
RNAcentral lists this ribosomal RNA (482 nucleotides) under uncultured bacterium. RNAcentral describes it as "partial 16S ribosomal RNA". It matches the Rfam family "Bacterial small subunit ribosomal RNA", at positions 30 to 507 of the family's 1533-position model. The record is from RNAcentral.